GGGUACUCAUGCUGCGUUCGAGUAUUCUCUGCGAACCGACUCGGAUCUCGGAUCUGACGCCACGCCCGUCCACAUCGAGGGGGCGGCCACUCAGUUCACAUUGAGGACUGGUCAAACAGCAUUUCUGAUCCCGUUUCUGACCUGAAAUUAGCUGAAAUGUACCUGAAAUUACCUGAAAUUAGAGUGUGCCCGCCCGAGCGAGUGAUGCCUAAAACAUGCAAAGACACGUCAGUGUAAUUGUGGAUGGCGAGAGCCCUGAAAUACAGCUGGACAGCAGCGGUCUACAUCACUGCCCCUUCUGCAGAUACAAAGGGUCAAAAUGUGAUAUCGACCAUCACAUUAAAUGCCAUGCCUCGGUUAAAUACAGAGGUCUGCAGAGGAGCUUUCAGGAAGCAGGAAGAGAAGACGGGAGGGAAAAAAGCUACAGACAAAACUGAAGACCAGGAACUGGAACCUGGGAACCUGGAAGAAUAUGUUGUCCUGAAGGACACAAUUCAGGCAGCAGCAUGGUGCCAGUUACAGUCCUUCAAGGACAGCCUUUCUCUCCCAGAGGUCAUUGGGAUGGAAGGUUGGGAGCAGAUGGCAGCAUCAACACAGCGCAAAUCCCAUGACGGCGGGGAUGAGGAAGAAACGUGGAACCCAUUCCAAUUCUCAUUCAGAUUACAUACUGACUAUGAACUGUUCUGUGUGGAGAUGAUGGACAGGAGAAACCUGAAGGUGUUUGCCUCUUUUGAGUCAAACACCUCUACCCCUCCCCGUCCCCCCUCCCUGUGACGCCUGCGCCACACGACUCCAAUGUAGUCUGAUGAUGCAGCAUAAUGGCGGCGCUUGGCAGCUAUGGCUGCGGUGACGGCGAUGUCGGGC
Molecule: long non-coding RNA, 864 nt
Organism: Gadus morhua (Atlantic cod)
Lineage: Eukaryota; Metazoa; Chordata; Actinopteri; Gadiformes; Gadidae
Source: Ensembl